AGCUACAGGCUUAACACAUGCAAGUCGAGGGGCAGCAUGGUCUUAGCUUGCUAAGGCCGAUGGCGACCGGCGCACGGGUGAGUAACACGUAUCCAACCUGCCGUCUACUCUUGGACAGCCUUCUGAAAGGAAGAUUAAUACAAGAUGGCAUCAUGAGUCCACAUGUUCACAUGAUUAAAGGUAUUCCGGUAGACGAUGGGGAUGCGUUCCAUUAGAUAGUAGGCGGGGUAACGGCCCACCUAGUCUUCGAUGGAUAGGGGUUCUGAGAGGAAGGUCCCCCACAUUGGAACUGAGACACGGUCCAAACUCCUACGGGAGGCAGCAGUGAGGAAUAUUGGUCAAUGGGCGAGAGCCUGAACCAGCCAAGUAGCGUGAAGGAUGACUGCCCUAUGGGUUGUAAACUUCUUUUAUAAAGGAAUAAAGUCGGGUAUGCAUACCCGUUUGCAUGUACUUUAUGAAUAAGGAUCGGCUAACUCCGUGCCAGCAGCCGCGGUAAUACGGAGGAUCCGAGCGUUAUCCGGAUUUAUUGGGUUUAAAGGGAGCGUAGAUGGAUGUUUAAGUCAGUUGUGAAAGUUUGCGGCUCAACCGUAAAAUUGCAGUUGAUACUGGAUAUCUUGAGUGCAGUUGAGGCAGGCGGAAUUCGUGGUGUAGCGGUGAAAUGCUUAGAUAUCACGAAGAACUCCGAUUGCGAAGGCAGCCUGCUAAGCUGCAACUGACAUUGAGGCUCGAAAGUGUGGGUAUCAAACAGGAUUAGAUACCCUGGUAGUCCACACGGUAAACGAUGAAUACUCGCUGUUUGCGAUAUACUGCAAGCGGCCAAGCGAAAGCGUUAAGUAUUCCACCUGGGGAGUACGCCGGCAACGGUGAAACUCAAAGGAAUUGACGGGGGCCCGCACAAGCGGAGGAACAUGUGGUUUAAUUCGAUGAUACGCGAGGAACCUUACCCGGGCUUAAAUUGCAGAUGAAUUACGGUGAAAGCCGUAAGCCGCAAGGCAUCUGUGAAGGUGCUGCAUGGUUGUCGUCAGCUCGUGCCGUGAGGUGUCGGCUUAAGUGCCAUAACGAGCGCAACCCUUGUUGUCAGUUACUAACAGGUUCUGCUGAGGACUCUGACAAGACUGCCAUCGUAAGAUGUGAGGAAGGUGGGGAUGACGUCAAAUCAGCACGGCCCUUACGUCCGGGGCUACACACGUGUUACAAUGGGGGGUACAGAGGGCCGCUACCACGCGAGUGGAUGCCAAUCCCAAAAACCUCUCUCAGUUCGGACUGGAGUCUGCAACCCGACUCCACGAAGCUGGAUUCGCUAGUAAUCGCGCAUCAGCCACGGCGCGGUGAAUACGUUCCCGGGCCUUGUACACACCGCCCGUCAAGCCAUGGGAGCCGGGGGUACCUGAAGUGCGUAACCGCGAGGAGCGCCCUAGGGUAAAACUGGUGACUGGGGCU
This 1440-nucleotide ribosomal RNA is filed under the name uncultured organism. RNAcentral describes it as "SSU rRNA". It matches the Rfam family "Bacterial small subunit ribosomal RNA". The record is from RNAcentral.